RNAcentral lists this ribosomal RNA (433 nucleotides) under uncultured bacterium. Its description in RNAcentral is "partial 16S ribosomal RNA". It matches the Rfam family "Bacterial small subunit ribosomal RNA", at positions 29 to 507 of the family's 1533-position model. The record is from RNAcentral.
AACGAACGCUGGCGGCAUGCCUAACACAUGCAAGUCGAACGAGACCUUCGGGUCUAGUGGCGCACGGGUGCGUAACGCGUGGGAAUCUGCCCUUGGGUUCGGAAUAACAGUUGGAAACGACUGCUAAUACCGGAUGAUGACGUAAGUCCAAAGAUUUAUCGCCCAAGGAUGAGCCCGCGUAGGAUUAGCUAGUUGGUGAGGUAAAGGCUCACCAAGGCGACGAUCCUUAGCUGGUCUGAGAGGAUGAUCAGCCACACUGGGACUGAGACACGGCCCAGACUCCUACGGGAGGCAGCAGUGGGGAAUAUUGGACAAUGAGCGAAAGCCUGAUCCAGCAAUGCCGCGUGAGUGAUGAAGGCCUUAGGGUUGUAAAGCUCUUUUACCCGGGAUGAUAAUGACAGUACCGGGAGAAUAAGCUCCGGCUAACUCCGUG